GAAGUCCUCGUGUUGCAUCCCUCU
RNAcentral lists this non-coding RNA (24 nucleotides) under Arabidopsis thaliana (thale cress). The record is from RNAcentral. Lineage: Eukaryota; Viridiplantae; Streptophyta; Magnoliopsida; Brassicales; Brassicaceae.